This 330-nucleotide ribosomal RNA is filed under the name Anolis gundlachi. RNAcentral's name for it is "partial 12S ribosomal RNA". It matches the Rfam family "Bacterial small subunit ribosomal RNA", at positions 881 to 1376 of the family's 1533-position model. Lineage: Eukaryota; Metazoa; Chordata; Lepidosauria; Squamata; Anolidae. The record is from RNAcentral.
UACGGGCGAAAAGCCUAAAACUCAAAAGACUUGGCGGUGCUUCACACAACUUAGAGGAGCCUGUCCUAUAAUCGAUACCCCACGAUAAACCUAACCUUCCUUUGCCAUAUUCAGCCUAUAUACCGCCGUCAUCAACCUACUCUAUGAAGAUAUUAUAGUUUGUACAAAAGCUAAACACACAAACGUCAGGUCAAGGUGUAGCUUAUAAGAAGGAAGAGAUGGGCUACAUUUUUUAAAAUAAAACAUCUACGACAAAAUAUCUUGAAAUAGAUACUAGAAGGAGGAUUUAAUAGUAAAAUAAGAAAGAAAACUUACUUUAAACUAGCCCUG